CUCAGUGGCGGGCGAGAAACUUCGCAGAGAGAUUGUGCACGGGAGUCUACUGUGAUGGCUACAGCGGAUCAUCUGCCUCCACCUUGCCCUGUUCCACCAACUGACCUCAUGUCCUCCUUCACAACAUCAACAAAGCUUCUCCGCGGACUUCUUCUUUUCCUUCUGCUCAGCAGCUCCAUCUCCAACCAAAUUUGUCCAAUAUAUUCACACUAUCCCUCCUGUGAAAUGAUCAUUUCAGACAGAUCUAAUACUGCAGGAGAGAAACUGGGCAAUCAGGGGAAAAAGGAGCGAUGGAAAAGGCAGCGAGAGAUAGUUGGGAGGUGUACCAUGCUCGCGGGACAUGAGUAGUCACUCAGAAGUAGGCCACUGCUGUAGCUUCAUCAUAAAUACAUGCAAGCGCUACAACACUUUCUCGCUAUAUGCUGCUUUUUGAAGAACAGAUUAUUGACCACCUGCACUAUUCAGUUCAACUUCAACUGUGUCUUCUAAACACAGUAGGACCGUCGCAACGACUCAUUGGUUUCUGUGAAUUUAUUUGUUAUUUUAAAUUUGUAUAUUUUUGUGUUUGACAACUCAUUUCCAUGUUACGUGAAUCUUGAAGCAGAGCACCAAGGUUUUUUUUUCCUUAUAGAGUCACAAUAUUUAAUUUUUGACUUGAAUCAUGACCACUUCCUCGACGCAGAUCACCUCAUUCUCAUUCUCUCUCUGUGAUGUGCAGAAAAAAGACGAUUAAAGUGAAUUUUUCAGCCUGGUCACAGAUGGUUGGAAUAAACACUACUUCCGCCUCCAUCUCUCAUUACAGCCACGGUGAAUAAUGCCAGGCCUCGAUGGAAAAAUCUGCAAGAACAGCAGGCAGAUUUUCAGAGCGUCAUAAAGUCAGCACAGAAGAUAAGUAAACACGUUUCUUUGAGCCAUCCCUCACUCUUAUCCUAUUUGUUUUUGUUUAAAUAAAUGGGUCCAUCAUU
Solea senegalensis (Senegalese sole) is the source of this 965-nucleotide long non-coding RNA. RefSeq lists it as uncharacterized. The record is from RefSeq and is a predicted model, not a curated record. NCBI's taxonomy places the organism in Eukaryota, Metazoa, Chordata, Actinopteri, Pleuronectiformes, Soleidae. The transcript has 2 exons.